CUUUGAGACAUUUCAUGUCUUUUGUAGCUGCAUAAUUAAGCAUUAUGCAAAAUGCUUAAAAAUGUAUGGAAAAACUGUCUGUGGUUAAUAGCUAACAACUGAACAAAAUGAGAGCAGUAAAACAGCAGCAGGUACCUGAUUUACCCGGCGCUGCAAUUUCAAGGAGUCCAAGAUAGAAAUCCAGGACUUUGUUUUGGGGUUGAUGAUGAUGGUGGAGAGUUCGUAAAACAACCACUCAGCCUCUCUGAUCUACUAAAAAUUCUAGAAACCAAAGGUGUGCAUAUGGACACCUGGAUGACUGUCUAAUUCAGCACCAAGAUGCAGCUGAAACUUAUACCCAGGGCUAAGUGCUCCAGUCCUGGCUCACUGACUUUGAUGCCCCUGUGAGCUGAAUCAACGCAUCGCUCUAAGAUGGCUGCACAGGUGCUCCUCUCACGUUAUGUUUUCUAUUCUUUCAGAACCUGGAAUGCUACCUUCAGAUUAUGGAAGCUGGCAAAAUUCAUAACCUGGCAAAAGGGAAAAUAUUCACAUAACUCUCGGCAAGAAACCAAAUCAAACUAUUCUUUUUAAUUGCAGAUGGCAGAGGACAAUAUGCUGGGUCUGCAAUAACAUUGACUCAAAAUUCCUUGCUAAUUAUGAAAUAACUUCCUAAAGAUUGCAAGCAAAAGGAAGUCAGAGAACAAAGCAAUGUCAAGUAUGCACAUGUCACAACACAAUGUGCUGAUUCCAAGCCUUUGGAAACAUGCUGAAAGACAUGUCUGGAAAAAAAAAAAAAAAAACAGGGAAAUGCUUCCACACAAACUUUCAGCAUGAAAACAACAGCUGAAUGCGCCUGUUCCCACCAGGAAAAAAUACCCCGAAAUAACAAAAGGUGGUGGAAAGCUAGAAAUGAAAUCAUCAGAUGGCGAGUAUGCUUUUUUGUCUGUUCCUAAAUCUUACAUAUACUGUACUUCCACUACAUUGUAAAUCAAGGGAUCAAUCUGGAGUAGAGUUUGACUGCAAGGUGCCAAGAAGACCAAGAAAAAUGGAAUGUAUAAACAGGUCUCUUUUACAAUGAAGGACUAGUAGAACAAAACAGAAGGAAAGCAAACAAAGGGCAACACUUUCAGAUAGUGUAUCUGAAGGAAUGCAAACUCUGUGCAUUCCUGAUCACUCCUGUAGGUACUGAAGAUAUAAAAGACACACUCUUGAGGAGAAUGGCAUACACAGUGUUUCUUUGUGAAAGAGUCCGCGUACAUUCCCUUCAUAACCACAGGUAAACCUUUGUAUUAUUGGUAUACUCUAAAGAUUUGUUUUCAGUUAGGUCUACACUGUUGGCUUGCGGAGUCCAAUUUUUUGUCAACUUAAGAGCUAAGGGUUAAGUAAAUUCUGGGGGCAAAUUGCAGGAUCCCAGAAAAGGUUAUAUGUACAACAUAAAUGAAACACUGCAUGCAUCUGACUUUAUAUGUUGCAAAAUACCACCUCAAGAAACAGAGGGAUAUCAUAUAUAAAUGCAAAUGACGCAAUGUUCAGUAAUGAAUAACGAUAUGACGAGACAUUUUUCUUUCAAAGCUGACAGAAGAAAAUAAACUUAUCCCUAGUUUGUGCA
Molecule: long non-coding RNA, 1588 nt
Filed under: Anser brachyrhynchus (Pink-footed goose)
Lineage: Eukaryota; Metazoa; Chordata; Aves; Anseriformes; Anatidae
Description: lncRNA (ENSABRG00000007864.1)
Source: RNAcentral